Long non-coding RNA from Hippocampus comes (tiger tail seahorse), 1430 nucleotides. RefSeq lists it as uncharacterized. The record is from RefSeq and is a predicted model, not a curated record. The transcript has 2 exons. Lineage: Eukaryota; Metazoa; Chordata; Actinopteri; Syngnathiformes; Syngnathidae.
CUUUGGUGGCUGGAAGUCGUCCGUCACAUUCAGCGAGGGACGACGGCUGCGAGGAAGGCCGGCACGGGGGCGACGAGGGACGCGGGGAAGAGGCGUGUUAGGGCUCCUUCUUCAUCUUCUUCCUUCAGUCCUCCUCUCGGAGCCGACCAGGACGCACGACGGACUUGUACGCCCCACCGAAUUACCAAGGUUCGAAAUAACUGCUUUUGUUUCAGGUGUUCUAAUGGCUUCACACGCUUGGAAAAUCAUCUCUUGCCCCCGCCUCUCCCCCCCUAACCAAAAAGUGUUGAGGGUGAGGACAGACGGGAUGCACGGGUGAGGGGUGGUCACACCUUGCAGGGAGGCUGUGAAUUGAUCAGCACCUCAGAGGGAGGGAGGCAGGGAUGGAGACAUGUGAGAAAGGAGCGUGAGGAAGGACGUGAGGAGAGAGGCUGAGUCAAGAAGGAGGGAAGAAGAGGAUGGUGGUGUGAAGAUUCAUCUUUUCAUGGCGGCGGGUAUGAGUGGCAAAAAUCUGGCGGACUUAAAAACAAAAAACAAAAACAAAAAACGGAUGAUGAUUUGAGUUCGGAUAGGACAUCUUCACAAAAUAAUAUCGCAGUGUCAUAUGGAGCAUCAAAUAUUGCUCGUAUGUACACUUGAAUGACAGUUUUAAGUUUGUCGACAACGUAGCAUGACAAUGAGGUAUCAUCGUUCAUUCGCAUGCAAUAAAAAGGUUUUUUAAUGAUUUGCAUUCAGUUGUGAAUGUAAUUAACAACUUUUUGAAUGUAACAAUGCUAAACUAAUACUAAUACAAGAAUCACAGUAUCGUGAUACCAGUGGUAUCACUGGCAAAAUAUAAUAAUAUCGUAUUGUAUAGACUGCAGCAAAAUAUCCAAAUGUAUGCAAUGCGAUGACUUCAGAUAUAACCCACCAAUUAAAAUAUGUUUUAUUGCAUAUCUGUUAUAAUAUUCUGCAAAUUGCAGUUAACUGUAUCAUAAUUGGACAAUCGUAUUGGAUUGUAAUUGGAAUGAAUUGCAUUGUUAAAAAUUAAACAUCAAAAAGUUUUGUUCCUUAAUAAGGUACAUUAAGGAACAAAACUGUUUUCAUGCAGCGUAGAUUAUUUUCUUGCAAUACAUGAAUUAGUGCUGUAUCGCAAUCCCAUUGAUAUCGUUGGAAACCAUAACAUGAUAUCAUAUUACAAUUUACGCCACAUCCUUUCUAUAAACCGUUUGCUUUCAUUACAUGCAGCAGAUUAAGCGGUAGAUGUGCCGUGGUGAUGUGGCAAAUGGUGUUUUCGCAGGACAUCAACUGCCCAACGGCCGUACAGCGAUACCACCAGCAACGACGGCCAAGCGUUGCAAGAAUCGUAUCAUGAUUUAGGGUGCAAUUCCCAUUAAUAAUACUUCUAAUCUUAAAAUUUUAAUGGCCCCCCUCCCUUCAAAAAAAAAAAA